UGAGUCUGAAGCCAGCAUCCCAGAGGACGUAGAUCUGACUAGAGCUGAGUCUCUGAACCCAGGAAGAAGAACACUUCAGGAGACAGAUGCAAUGAUGAAUGACAUCCAAAGCCAUUACAUCUGGAGAACUAGGACCAUCCUUGCCAACACUGAGAUGGGAGCUUCCAUUCCAUUCCAGCUGCUGCUGCCCUAUUCUUUUCCUCUGGUAUACCUCGUCCUUCGCACAGAAAACCCUGAAGUCAGAUGAGUCACAUGGAUCCUCAUAA
Molecule: long non-coding RNA, 266 nt
Filed under: Cavia porcellus (domestic guinea pig)
Lineage: Eukaryota; Metazoa; Chordata; Mammalia; Rodentia; Caviidae
Description: lncRNA (ENSCPOG00000030013.1)
Source: RNAcentral